RNAcentral lists this ribosomal RNA (255 nucleotides) under Longicoelotes karschi. RNAcentral's name for it is "partial 12S ribosomal RNA". The record is from RNAcentral. Lineage: Eukaryota; Metazoa; Arthropoda; Arachnida; Araneae; Agelenidae.
AUCGACAACCCACGUUAANUUUAACUUUAUUUCAAAAUUUAUAUACCGCCAUCUUAAGAAUUAAUUAAUAAAUAUUAUUCUAAAAAAUAAAUAGAAAGUUAGGUCAAGGUAUAAUUUACAUUAAAGAAUCAGAUGAAUUACAUUAAAUAUAAUUUAAAGACCAUAUAUAAAUAUAUUUAUGCAAAUAAGAAUUUAAAAGUAAUAUUAAAAUAAUAUUUCAAUAUGAUAUUGAUAAAAAAUGUGCACACAUCGCCC